GCCUCCCCAGGCGGACAAUGGCCCGGCACACCAGGUGAUACCUGAGCCAUGGCGGAGGGGGCUUACUCAACGGGCGAGCGUUGAGGUUCCAGCUGCUGAUUGCCAGUCCCUCUGGUGCUUCGGGCGUCCUUCCUCUUGCCCAGGUACCUGGCGCAUGGCCCCAUGCAGCCUUGCUGUGGUUUGAAGAUACUAGUGGUCUCACCCGACCACGUCUCUGGCCCGGCUCUCAUUUCCCGCCCCCCAAAAGGGGAGCGUAGGGGGCCGGCGGAAGAAUGUGUGAACCGGCCGACCCCUAAGUGCCUAAGUGGGGAAGCUGGAUGGGGGGGCUGUGUCGCUAGAGGCAGGACAGGCGGUGCUGCCUCCCUCCGGCCUCUCCUGCACCAGCAGGUUCGGGCCGAUGUCUGGAAUAAAAACAAAGUUGCCUAUGAAUCUUGACGGUGGAUCAUUCGGCUUGCGCGUCAAUGAAGAGUGCAGCUAGCUGCGCGAAUUAGUGUGAAUUGCAGGACACUUUGAUCAUCGACACUUCGAAGGCACCUUGCGGGCCCGGGUUCCUCCCGGGGUGCGGCUGUCGCAGGGACCCUGUUCCCUUCAUCCCCCUAAGGUCAGACCCUGAUCAGCACCAUCGCAGGAUCCCAGGACCUGGCGCACAGGCUCAUUGCCGGUGCAUCCCGGCCUCCCCUGUUCCCCGCCUCUGGCAGGAGAGGGCCGGGAUCCCGUUGGUGGCGGGCCUUAAAGCGUGGCGCACCUCUAACCCAGUGCACCUGGCUGCGCCGCGUGUGGCUGUCUGUGGUGUCCCAUGGCUGCCAGUGCGGAACGGCCCUGGAGCGUGGGCCUUGCUACCAUGUGGGCUUCGGCCACAGACCGGGACAGCGCACACUCGGCUGCGCUAUGCCCAGUGGGCCACUUUUGGUAAGCAGAACUGACGCUACAGGAUCAACCGAACGCCGGGUUAAGGCGCCCGAUGCUGACGCUCAUCAGACGCUAGAAAGGGUGUUGGUUGAUAUAGACAGCAGGGCGGUGGCUAUGGAAGUCGGAAUCUGCUAAGGAGUGUUUAACAACUCACCUGCCUAAUCAACUAGCCCUGAAAAUGGAUUGCGCUGGAGUGUGGGGCCAUACGCGGCGGGCGCUGAGAGGCGCCGAGGCUAAGCCAGAGUAGGAGGGCGCACCAAAACCCAUGGCGAGGGCCCUGGUGGAGCCGCCACAGGUGCAGAUCUUGGUGGUAGUAGCAAAUAUUCAAACAAGAACUUUGAAGGCCAAAGUGGCGAUGGGUUCCAUGUGAACAGCAGUUGAACAUGGGUCAAUCGAUGGAUGAGUGCUGUUCGGAAGGGACAGGCGAUGGCCACCGUUGCCCUCGGCAGAUCGGAAGGGAGUCAGGUUCAGAUCCCAGACCCGGAGUGGCAGAGACGGGCACCCUUGCAGCGACGAGUGUGCAACGCAAACAAUCCCAGAGAACCCAGCGGGAUCCCCGGGGAGAGUUCUGUUUUCUUUGUGAAGGGCACGGCAUCCUGGAAUGGGCUUGCCCCGAGAGAAGGGCUCGAGUCUUGGAAAGCGUUGCGGAUCGGCAGCGUCUGGUGAGCUCUCGCUGGUCCUUGAAAAUUCGGGGGAGAUGGUGUAAAUCUCGCGCUGGGCCGUACCUAUAUCCGCAGCAGGUCUCCAAGGUGAACAGCCUCUAGCAUGUUGGAACAAUGUAGGUAAGGGAAGUCAGCAAGUCGGAUACGUAACUUCAGGAUAAGGAUUGGCUUCAAGGGCUGGGUCAGUUGGGCUGGGGAGCGAAGCAGGGCAGGCUGCGAGCUGCAGCUGGAGGAGGCGUUGCCCCCUCAAAGCCCUCCCCUCCCUGGCGGCACAGACUCUGGAUUCGAACCGGGUCCUUCUUGUGGAUCGCCACAGCUGCAGCAGUUGCCACUCUCCGUUCACCUCCCGGGGUUCGUGGCCGGUGUUCUGCCUCGGCUGAUGCCUAGUAGCUGACUUAUAACUGGUGUGGCCCAGGGGAAUCCGACAUUGGCCCACAGUGGGUGUUGACGCAAUGUGAUUUCUGCCCACUGCUCUGAAUGUCAAAGUGAAGAAAUUCAAUGAAGCGCGUGUAAACGGUCGGAGUAACCAUGACUCUCUUAAGGUAGCCAAAUGCCUUGUCAUCUAAUUAGUGAUGUGCAUGAAUGGAUGAACGAGAUUCCCACUUUCCCUACCUACUAUCUAGCAAAACCACAGCCAAGGGAACUGGCUUGGCAGAAUCAGUGGGGACAGAAAACCCUGUUGGGGUUCACCCUAGUCUGUCACUGUGAAGAGACGUGAGGGGUGUAGGAUAAGUGGUAGGCCCUCAGGCCGCUGGUUAAAAAUCCACUAUUAUUGUUUUUUCACUUAUCUGGCGGGGCGGCAAGCCCCAUGGGGCUCUCGCUUCUGGCUCCAAGCUCCCGCCGGGCGCGACCUGCUCUAGGGACAGUGGCAGGUGGGCAAUUUGACUGGGGCAGUACACCUGGCAAACGAUAACGCAGGUGUCCUAAGGCGAGCUCAGGGAGGACCGAAAUCUCCUGUGGAGCAGAAGGGUAAAAGCUUGCUUGAUCUCAAUUUUCAGUAUGAAUACAGACCGUGAAAGUGGGGCCUAAGGAUCCUUCUGACAUUUUGGGUUUCAAACAGGAGGUGUCAGAAAAGUUACCACAUGGAUAACUGGCUUGUGGUGGCCAUGCGUUCAUAGCGACGUCUCUUUUUGAUCCUUUGAUGUUGGCUCUUCCUAUCAUUGUGAAACAGAAUUCACCAAGCGUUGAAUUGUUCACCCACUAAUAGUGGUCAUGAGAUGGGUUUAGACCGUCGUGUGACAGGUUAAUGUUACCCUACAGAUGAUGUGUUGUUGCAAUAGUAAUCCUGCUCAGUAUGAGAGGAACAGCAGUUUCAGACAAUUGGUGUAUGUGCUUGGCUGAGCAGACAAUGGGGUGAAGCUACCAUCUGUGGGAUGACUGAAUGCCUCUAAGUCAGAAUCCCCCCUUAACCGUAACGAUACCGCAGCGCUGUGGGGCCUCAGUUGGCCUAGGAUAUCCGGCCUCUGGGCUGAUGCGUAUAGCCGCUCGCCUCGGGACUCUAGUGUGGACAGAAGGGUGCCUCCUCAGGCUGGUAGUGCACCACUUGUUCGUGGGGAACCAGGUUCUAAAUUAUUUGUAGAGACCCUGAUUCUGUGUCAGGGGUUCGUAGUAGCAUAGCAGCUACCUCG
This 3199-nucleotide ribosomal RNA is filed under the name Ambystoma mexicanum (axolotl). Its description in RNAcentral is "eukaryotic LSU rRNA". The stretch from base 791 to 3199 matches the Rfam family "Eukaryotic large subunit ribosomal RNA". The record is from RNAcentral. Lineage: Eukaryota; Metazoa; Chordata; Amphibia; Caudata; Ambystomatidae.